GUAAGAUUUUAUUCAGUGACAACUAUGAUGUUUUUACUUGAUCAUUAAAAAGACUCCCCACCAUGUUAAAGCGGACAGUACAGGACAGAAGCCUCGAAUAACUGUCCUCUGAGAGGCUCCACCCAGCAGCCAAUGGAAAGAGAUACAGAGACUCUCACCCAAACACAGAUGGAGCUUGGGAAGUUUCACAGAGGAAUUGGGGGAAGGAUUGAGGGAUCUGAAGAGGAAAGGGACUUUACAGGACAACCAACAGAGUCAACUAACCUGGACCCUUUGGGGCUCCCAGAGAUUGAAUCACCAACCAAAGAGCAAACACAGGCUUGACCUAGGC
This 331-nucleotide long non-coding RNA is filed under the name Androctonus crassicauda. The record is from RNAcentral. Lineage: Eukaryota; Metazoa; Arthropoda; Arachnida; Scorpiones; Buthidae.